This is a long non-coding RNA of Lycium barbarum (goji berry), 804 nucleotides long. RefSeq lists it as uncharacterized. The transcript is spliced from 3 exons. Lineage: Eukaryota; Viridiplantae; Streptophyta; Magnoliopsida; Solanales; Solanaceae. The record is from RefSeq and is a predicted model, not a curated record.
AAACCAAAAAUAAAAAUAAAAAAGGAAAAGACAACAAAAUAAAAUAAGCAAUGUCUGAUAUCCUCAUUUGGAAAGGGGUAAAAACCCUUUCUCUUUCUAGAACCUCCGGCUUCUCUCUAGACUUGUCUUCUCCGGCAAAAUUUUUGAGGUGCAAGAGUGAUGAAGCUUGUGUAUGGUGUAUGUUUACACCUUGAUUCAACUCUGAUUUGCCUUCACCUUCUUCAUCGAGCAAAAUAUUAGGUACAAUCUUCAUUUUGACCUUACAAUUCCACCAUUCUUGAUUUUUGACGCGAAUGCCUUUAUUUCCAUGUGGGAUGGUCUUUUGAGCUACUUGUAAACCCGAUGGUGUCAAGUCCUUCCUUGAUUUGCAAUUCCACAGGUGAUUCAUUCCCUUGCCCAGUAUCUCCAUGUUUGCCAGUAUCUUCAUGUGGUACCCUGCUGAUUUCAUCUUGCUUCUGUGCUGGACUAUUGGUUUAAACCAUGGAUCCCAGACAAGGGGCCUCAUCUGACAUUACCUUUCAUUGAUCUUCAAGUAAUACACAGGAGUGGACAACAUCUUGACAUAUUCUUCAAAAUGAGACAGCCUGAUCAAGAUGUAUCUUUCAUCAAUCAAGCCAACCUUGGUUGUUCCUUUGAUAGCACAUUGUAUAGGGAUAAUAUCACGUAGUUGCUUAAUAUCAAUUAUGUCAUAAGAGAACUUGCCAAGCACCGCAUAUUGUAAUUCCUCCUUAAUAAUCAUCUUUUUUACCUCAUUAGAACUCCAAGCAAUAUAGGGCUCACCAUCUACAAACUCAACAAUUUUUA